Long non-coding RNA from Ictalurus punctatus (channel catfish), 568 nucleotides. The record is from Ensembl. Lineage: Eukaryota; Metazoa; Chordata; Actinopteri; Siluriformes; Ictaluridae.
UUUUCCCUUCUGUUUGGGAGUGUAAUAUAUCUGUUUAUGUUCAUGUAUAAGCUCUGCAAAAUCGCAAAAUUCAUAUUUCCCCCAAAGGGAUUUAUUCUGUCUAACAGAGGACACUGCUCCAGACUUGCCCGAAACUCAUCGUUCAAAGUCCAGAUUUACUUACGUAAUUUCUCUACGUCACAGCAUGCACUAUCAGCAUAAUCCCACCCAAAGGCAGCCAUGAAGAAAGAUGGCAAGGCUUCAUGUCACACCAUGUCACCUAGACACUGUGUGUUUCGAGCAUUUUACAGAGGACAGCUUCCAGAAACUGGCAUCCAUUUACAAGCACAGAAACCAAGUGGACCCAAACAAAGUUACUGCUACCAGCUGUGGCUACAGAUUCCAAGCUGCAAAGCUCUGCCCCAUUUCUCUGCUGCCACAGGAACAGGUGGAGGGCCUGGCACUGCAUUUUACCAAGCAUUAGACUCCACUCGGAUCAACUGCAAAGUCACAGACAGCAAAUGUUCUCACAGGCUGUGUGUGAGAUGGACAGAGACAGGAUGCAACCCUUCUGUUUACUUCCCCAAAG